UUCACAUGGAUGCCUCCAAUUCUAGUAUUGUUCCACGGGGUUUAUUUUAGCUACCCUCUUCUCAUUUGUAGUUCCUUUCUCUGACAGAAACCUAGCUCCCAUUGUUUUCAACAUUCAAGUCAUCUAUAAGAGCCAUUCUUCCCAUCACACCAGUUCCCUCUUGCUCCCCUCACCGCACAGGCCUCCAUGAGCCAGCUGAGCAUCCCUGACCCCUGGGCAACGGCCCUGAUGCCAGUGACCGUGUGGUCCACUGCACCUGGUCGAGGACCUUCUUCCAGCCCAUGAGGCACUGCACCAGCAGCCCUGCAGUCAGUCCACCAUGUACCAGGAGAGCACCAAAGAGAAGGAGCUAGGUGCCGAGAGAGAAGCUACACCCACGGCUCCUCCGCACUGCUUGUGAGUCAGCAGUAUCAAGCCACCGCCAUGGCCUCCCAGCUCUCUGCGUUGGGAAAGGCUCUCCAGUUUUAAGGAUGCAUCUGCGUAGAUUGGGUAUCUCCCAAUGAUCCAGGAUAAUCAUCUCCCCAUGUCAAGGUGGCGCAAUGGUUGAGAAACCAUCUGCCAAUGCAGGGGACAUGGGUUCGAUCCCUGUUGCAGGAAGAUCCCGCAUGCCGUGGAGCAACUAAGCCCUUGCACCACAACUAUUGAGCCUGUAUUUUAGAGCCUGUGAGCCACAACUAUUGAGCCCGUGUACUGCAACUACUGA
Long non-coding RNA from Hippopotamus amphibius kiboko, 703 nucleotides. RefSeq lists it as uncharacterized. NCBI's taxonomy places the organism in Eukaryota, Metazoa, Chordata, Mammalia, Artiodactyla, Hippopotamidae. The transcript has 4 exons. The record is from RefSeq and is a predicted model, not a curated record.